CAGAAUAUAGCGCAGUUUGGUAGCGCGGCGGCUUUGGGAGCCGCAGGUCACAGGUUCGAAUCCUGUUAUUCUG
RNAcentral lists this transfer RNA (73 nucleotides) under Pseudomuriella schumacherensis. RNAcentral's name for it is "tRNA-Pro". It matches the Rfam family "tRNA". Rfam says of the family: Transfer RNA (tRNA) molecules are approximately 80 nucleotides in length. Their secondary structure includes four short double-helical elements and three loops (D, anti-codon, and T loops). Lineage: Eukaryota; Viridiplantae; Chlorophyta; Chlorophyceae; Sphaeropleales; Pseudomuriellaceae. The record is from RNAcentral.